UACGGGGGGGGCAAGCGUUGUUUGGAAUUACUGGGCGUAAAGGGCUCGUAGGCGGCCAACUAAGUCGGAUGUGAAAUCCCCAAGCUUAACUUGGGAACUGCAUCCGAUACUGGAUGGCUUGAAUCCGGGAGAGGGAUGCAGAAUUCCAGGUGUAGCGGUGAAAUGCGUAGAUAUCUGGAGGAAUACCGGUGGCGAAGGCGGCAUCCUGGACCGGCAUUGACGCUGAGGAGCGAAAGCUAGGGGAGCAAACGGG
Molecule: ribosomal RNA, 253 nt
Filed under: uncultured bacterium
Lineage: Bacteria
Description: partial 16S ribosomal RNA
Rfam family: Bacterial small subunit ribosomal RNA
Source: RNAcentral